GAAAUGCGAUAAGUAAUGUGAAUUGCAGAAUUCAGUGAAUCAUCGAAUCUUUGAACGCACCUUGCGCUCCUUGGUAUUCCUUGGAGCAUGCCUGUUUGAGUAUCAUGAAAUCUUCAAAGUAAAUCUUUUGUUAACUCAAUUGGUUUCUACUUUGGUAUUGGAGGUCUUUGCAGCUUCACACCUGCUCCUCUUUGUUCAUAGCUGGAUCUCAGUGUUAUGCUUGGUUCCACUCGGCGUGAUAAGUUAUCUAUCGCUGAGGACACUGUAAAAGGUGGCCAAGGUAAAUGCAGAUGAUCCGCUUCUAAUAGUCCAUUGACUUGGACAAUACUUUUAUGAUCUGAUCUCAAAUCAGGUAGGACUACCCGCUGAACUUAAGC
Molecule: unclassified non-coding RNA, 377 nt
Filed under: plant metagenome
Description: partial contains 5.8S ribosomal RNA, internal transcribed spacer 2, and large subunit ribosomal RNA
Rfam family: 5.8S ribosomal RNA (bases 1-105)
Source: RNAcentral